This is a long non-coding RNA of Phacochoerus africanus (Common warthog), 915 nucleotides long. RefSeq lists it as uncharacterized. The record is from RefSeq and is a predicted model, not a curated record. Lineage: Eukaryota; Metazoa; Chordata; Mammalia; Artiodactyla; Suidae. The transcript has 4 exons.
GGCUUCUUGCUGGCAUCUCUGCACCUCUCCUCUCCGUUUUUGGCGUCUGCCUUGGUCUCGCCUUGCUUGCCCUCCUGAGAAUUCAGAAAAGAAAAAUAAACAUGAAGAGCUGGCUGUGGAGGGAGACGAAUGGACUUGGGGGCACUCAGUAAGCACUUUGCUAAGGACCUGCCCUCUCUGUGAGGAGGCUGGGGUCUGCCAGGGGAGCCGACUUCAGGAUCGCUCUGCUGGGACUGGGGCCAGGAAUGAGUGGGGCUGGGGCCUCGCAGCGCCGGCAGCUGAGAGCUCAGAUGUUGCCUUAAAAGGAGAAGCAGCCUGCGGCCUCCCAGGGCUGGGAUUUCCACGGAGCCAAGCUCCUCGGCACAAAGCAGAGCUGCCUCCUGGCUCGUCAGAGACUUCUGCCUCUAGAACUGGGUGUGCAUCCUGGUGACCUCCAGAGGCCCCCUACAGGCUGCAGCCAGAGCCCGGGAUGAAGCCCGGACCUCUCAGCUGGCAUGCGGCUCUUGGUGACCUGGCUGGAGCCCACGUCUGAGCCCGUCCCCUCCUGCCUGCACUCAGGCCACCCUGUGCCCGGCUGCCUUUGGGUGCCGUUCCUGCCAUCCAGGGUGUCCUGUGUCCACCCCCCAACCCCGGCUCUGGCAUCCCCAGAUGCUCAACUUCCCUCAUCCAUCUCUUUCACCCUCCUUCCUCCUUUUUAACUUUUUAUUAAGGGCACUGCAGGUGCACAAAACUGGAGCAUGGCAACCUCUGGACACCCAGUCAGUGACGCCAGCCCACCUGUGUUCCUCCCACCCCCGGAUUAUUCUGAGGCAAAUUCCAGGUACAUGGUUUCAUGCACCGAAAAAAUCAGUGUGACCACUAAAAGACAGAAACUUUGUUGGAGUUCCCAUCGUGGCUCAGUGGUUAACGAAUCCG